This 484-nucleotide ribosomal RNA is filed under the name uncultured bacterium. RNAcentral describes it as "partial 16S ribosomal RNA". It matches the Rfam family "Bacterial small subunit ribosomal RNA", at positions 30 to 507 of the family's 1533-position model. The record is from RNAcentral.
AUUGAACGCUGGCGGCAGGCCUAACACAUGCAAGUCGAGCGGAUGAAGGGAGCUUGCUCCUGGAUUCAGCGGCGGACGGGUGAGUAAUGCCUAGGAAUCUGCCUGGUAGUGUGGGAUAACGUCCGGAAACGGGCGCUAAUACCGCAUACGUCCUGAGGGAGAAAGUGGGUGAUCUUGGUACCUCCGCCUAUCGUAUCGGCCAAGGUCGGGUUAGCUAGUUGGUGGGGUAAAGGCCUACCAAGACGAGGUUCUGUAACUGUUCUGAGAGGAUGAGCAGUCACACUGGAACUGGGACACGGUCAAGAGUCAUACGGGAGGCAGAAGUGGGGAAUAUUGGACAAUGGGAGAAGGCGUGAUACAGCCACGCCGAGUGUGUGAAGAAGAUCUUCGGAUUGUAAAGCACUUUAAGUUGGGAGGAAGGGCAGUAAGUUAAUACCUUGCUGUUUUGACGUUACCAGCAGAAUAAGCACCGGCUAACUUCGUG